UACGUAGGGUGCGAGCGUUGUCCGGAAUUACUGGGCGUAAAGAGCUCGUAGGCGGUCUGUCGCGUCGGUCGUGAAAACUUGGGGCUUAACCCUGAGCUUGCGGUCGAUACGGGCAUGACUGGAGUUCGGCAGGAGAGACUGGAAUUCCUGGUGUAGCGGUGAAAUGCGCAGAUAUCAGGAGGAACACCGGUGGCGAAGGCGGGUCUCUGGGCCGAUACUGACGCUGAGGAGCGAAAGCGUGGGGAGCGAACAGG
This 254-nucleotide ribosomal RNA is filed under the name uncultured bacterium. RNAcentral describes it as "partial 16S ribosomal RNA". It matches the Rfam family "Bacterial small subunit ribosomal RNA", at positions 524 to 776 of the family's 1533-position model. The record is from RNAcentral.